RNAcentral lists this ribosomal RNA (543 nucleotides) under Triticum aestivum (bread wheat). RNAcentral describes it as "partial small subunit ribosomal RNA". Lineage: Eukaryota; Viridiplantae; Streptophyta; Magnoliopsida; Poales; Poaceae. The record is from RNAcentral.
AUGGUUUGGCUUCUCGACGAUGUCUACGACACGAAACACCGGGCCUACAUGAUGCGCGAGAAGGAGAUGAAGCUUGAACCUUUGAAGAUUCGGUAUCACGGGGUCUCUGGUCCUGCCAUGCCUUACGAUGAGCGGUACACACCGUACAUCAAGCAGGCAGGACUACUCCCGUGGAUUCAGUUGGUCAGCCGGUCCACGCCGAAUCUGAACGCUCCACUGGUGUCCGCUCUUGCUGAUCGGUGGAGGCCGGAGACGCAUAGUUUCCAUCUUCGGACUGGGGAGAUGACCGUGACGCUCGAGGAUGUCUCGUUGAUCACCGGUCUUGCUAUCGACGGGAUGCCUCUUUGUAUGAGCACUGAUUCUGAUGGGUGGCGCGAGCAGAUGAUUGCUCUUAUCGGUAUGGCUCCUACUGAGGCUGAGGCUGAUGUAGAGGAGGGAGAAGAGAAGAAGAAGAGGGAAAGGAAAGCAGCCGGAGCUGCUUUCACGUGGAUUCAAACUCACUUUGCGACGUGCCCUCCGGAUGCCACUGAUGAUGUGAUCUAG